CAUAAUUAUGUGCCAAAGCGAAAGUAAUAGGGAGACGCAACAUCGGUGGCAGCAUUCGGGUGCCACAAUCUCAAAGUAUUUUAUGAUUGUCCUGAAUGCCAUCUAUCGACUAUGACAUGAUUUCAUUGUGCUCCUGGACUUUAACACUAUCGAGCCGUUCAUUAAAGCUAGUGGGAGCAAGUACAGGCCUUGGUUUGAUAACUGUGUUGGUGCACUUGAUGGGACACACAUUCCUUGCGUUCUGCAGCCCGACAAUGCGGAGGUAUGGAGAAAUAGGAAGGGAUUUAUGUCUCAAAAUGUUUUGGGUGUAUGUUCGUUUGACAUGAAGUUUACAUACAUGCUUGCCGGGUGGGAGGGAUCUGCACAUGACGCCCGCAUACUUGAAUCCGCCCUUGAUGGGUGACACAAAAAGUUUCCAACUCCUCCUGAAGGAAAAUUUUAUUUAGUAGAUUCGGGCUAUGCAAACAGAAGUUGUUUCCUAGCACCAUAGCGUGGUAGUACGUACCACUUGCAAGAGUAUAGGGCACGCCGUGGAUGACUUCGGAGUGAGCGGGAGUUGUUCAACUACACGCACUCAUCGCUCUGGAAUUGUAUCGAGCGCACAUUUAGGGUGUGGAAAGCAAGGUUCCGCAUUCUCAAGAUCAUUAACAACUACCCAAUGAAGAAACAAGUAAAAAUACCUAUUGCUUGUGCGGUCAUACAUAACUUCAUACACAUGUUUCAGCAUGAUGAUAGAUUUAUGACCCAAUACUUU
Long non-coding RNA from Morus notabilis, 754 nucleotides. RefSeq lists it as uncharacterized. Lineage: Eukaryota; Viridiplantae; Streptophyta; Magnoliopsida; Rosales; Moraceae. The transcript has 3 exons. The record is from RefSeq and is a predicted model, not a curated record.